AAAGAGAGAGAGAGAGGCGAGCGAGCGAGCGACCGAGAGAGAGGAGAGCUCGAGCGAGAACGGGAGCAUGGCGCGAGAGAGAGCAGGGACAGGGCGCGAGACGGAGCGAGAGGAGUUGUCCUGUGCUAGAAACAGAGAGAACGAGAGGCAGAGAAAGAAGCACGAAGGCGGAUUCUGCGAUCAAAUUAGACGCGGCAAGUGCGGAGGCGACAAUCGAUGAUGCGGCAAAAUUGAACGACGUGGUUUACCCCGAGCACAACGAUUCGUACACUGCCACAUAUAUAAGCAGGUAUGAGAUGUUUAAUUUUUUUAGUAAAUUAAUAAUUUUUAAUUGUGAUGAAUUAUUUGAUUAAUUUCAUCGUUGAUGUGGUGUAUGAUCUAUAUGUUAACAGAUAAUAUAUUUUUAGGGCAUAGUAGAAUC
This 421-nucleotide long non-coding RNA is filed under the name Ananas comosus (pineapple). RNAcentral describes it as "long non-coding RNA (ACOM_LNC038522)". The record is from RNAcentral. Lineage: Eukaryota; Viridiplantae; Streptophyta; Magnoliopsida; Poales; Bromeliaceae.